GUCCCUGUAGCGCAAUGGAUAGCGCGUUGGUUGAUUGAUCCAAAGGUCGUGGGUUCGAAUCCUACCUGAGAUG
Molecule: non-coding RNA, 73 nt
Organism: Trichonephila clavipes
Lineage: Eukaryota; Metazoa; Arthropoda; Arachnida; Araneae; Nephilidae
Source: the annotation of a GenBank genome assembly